GGGGGCUGUGUAUGUGUAUGUGUGGGGCGCUGCUUGUGUCCCCCCCCCAGCCCCACUCAGCACCUGGAAAGCCGCUGCAGAACUUUCUGGAAGCCCCCGCACGCUGAAUGUGCUGCCCCCAUAGUGCUGGGCACGCAGGUAUUGUUACACUUCUGUGUCUCAGGCUGUAUUUUGUGCGUUCACAUACAAGCUUUGUGUGAUGUGUUUCCCUGGGGAGCUGCACCUAGGCUCAGGACAGCCAGAAGAUCUGGAUCGGGUACAAAGCAGGCACAGCAAACUAGUGUGCCAAGGGAUGCUGGGUUCCAAAAAUGGACAGCUUGGGCAGCAACAUCACUCACUUUCCCAUACCUGAGCACCCAUUUUGGACACAGAAUGAAAGGAGCAUAUUCAGCCUUUAUGACGCUGAGACCAUUAACAGUGUUGCUAUUUGAGGGAGGAAGGACAACAGACAUUCCAGCUUUCUCUUGGAGUGACCAUUCCCAAAAGCAACAGGACAGAAGUGAUUCCAGACCACUUUUUCUGCUGACGUCAGUUACUGUCUGCUAG
This 546-nucleotide long non-coding RNA is filed under the name Anas platyrhynchos platyrhynchos (common mallard). RNAcentral describes it as "lncRNA (ENSAPLG00000030816.1)". Lineage: Eukaryota; Metazoa; Chordata; Aves; Anseriformes; Anatidae. The record is from RNAcentral.